UAGGGAAUCUUCGGCAAUGGACGGAAGNCUGGACCGAGCAACCNNGGCGUGAGUGAAGAAGGUUUUCGGAUCGUAAAGCUCUGUUGUAAGAGAAGAACGAGUGUGAGAGUGGAAAGUUCACACUGUGACGGUAUCUUACCAGAAAGGGACGGCUAACUACGUGCCAGCAGCCGCGGUAAUACGUAGGUCCCGAGCGUUGUCCGGAUUUAUUGGGCGUAAAGCGAGCGCAGGCGGUUAGAUAAGUCUGAAGUUAAAGGCUGUGGCUUAACCAUAGUACGCUUUGGAAACUGUUUAACUUGAGUGCAAGAGGGGAGAGUGGAAUUCCAUGUGUAGCGGUGAAAUGCGUAGAUAUAUGGAGGAACACCGGUGGCGAAAGCGGCUCUCUGGCUUGUAACUGACGCUGAGGCUCGAAAGCGUGGGGAGCAAACAGGAUUAGAUACCCUGGUAGUCCACGCCGUAAACGAUGAGUGCUAGGUGUUAGACCCUUUCCGGGGUUUAGUGCCGUAGCUAACGCAUUAAGCACUCCGCCUGGGGAGUACGACCGCAAGUUG
This 551-nucleotide ribosomal RNA is filed under the name uncultured bacterium. Its description in RNAcentral is "bacterial SSU rRNA". It matches the Rfam family "Bacterial small subunit ribosomal RNA", at positions 355 to 896 of the family's 1533-position model. The record is from RNAcentral.